Molecule: transfer RNA, 63 nt
Filed under: Haliotis ovina
Lineage: Eukaryota; Metazoa; Mollusca; Gastropoda; Lepetellida; Haliotidae
Description: tRNA-Lys
Source: RNAcentral
GGGUGGCUGACAAUAGCAUUAGACUUUUAAUCUAACUUAUGAUAGACAAAUUACCCUAUCCCC